RNAcentral lists this signal recognition particle RNA (305 nucleotides) under Phascolarctos cinereus (koala). Its description in RNAcentral is "Metazoan signal recognition particle RNA (ENSPCIG00000025662.2)". It matches the Rfam family "Metazoan signal recognition particle RNA". From Rfam's summary of the family: The signal recognition particle (SRP) is a universally conserved ribonucleoprotein. The record is from RNAcentral. Lineage: Eukaryota; Metazoa; Chordata; Mammalia; Diprotodontia; Phascolarctidae.
GCUAGACAUAAUGGCACAAGCCUAUAAUCUCAGCCACAGGGGAGGCUGAGGCUAAUGGAUUGCUGGAGCUCAGGAGUUCUGAGCUGCAGUGAGCUAGGGCUAAUUGGGUGUCUGUAUUAAGUUCGUCACUAGUAUUAUGAGCCCCCAGAAAUGAGAGGGGAAGGCCAUGAGGUUGCCUAAGGAGGGGUGAAGCAGCCUAGGUUGGGAACAGAGCCAGCUGGAACUCCUGUGCCAGUAAAGUGGGAUUUGGCUCGAGUGUAGCCUCAGCACUUCUAGCCUGGGUGAGAUAUGGAGACCCAGCCUGA